This 852-nucleotide ribosomal RNA is filed under the name Triticum aestivum (bread wheat). RNAcentral's name for it is "partial small subunit ribosomal RNA". Lineage: Eukaryota; Viridiplantae; Streptophyta; Magnoliopsida; Poales; Poaceae. The record is from RNAcentral.
AUGGGAGCUCUAUGGUGGAGCUACCAGUAUCUUGAUGAGCAGGUCAGGCGAUGCUUCGCUUACUGCAGUAUUUUUCCCAGGCGGCAUAAGUUGAGACGUGAUGAGUUAGUAAAGUUGUGGGUGGCAGAAGGGUUUAUAAAGACUAGUAAGACUGAAGAGGAAAUGGAAGAUGUUGCUAAAAAUUAUUUUGAUGAAUUAUUGUCGGCCUCAUUUCUGCAAUUAGGAGGGAAAGAUUAUGAUGCACAUGAGCUCCAUGAUCUGCUGUGUGAUUUAGCAGAUGAGGUUGCCGGAAGAGAUUGCUUCAGGAUAGAGAAAGACUUCACAGGAGAAGUUCCUCCUGGUGUCCGCUAUCUUUUUGUUGGGACUUGUAAUAUGGAGAUGCUUACUGAGAAGAUAUAUCGGUUACAAAAUUUGCGCACUCUCAUCAUUGAUGGCUUGAUAAAAGUUAAAUCAGACAAUCACAAAGCCUUCAAGAGUAUGUUCGCUAUGUUCACGAGGCUGACAAAAUUGCGGGUACUGAAAUUACAUGUCGCGCUGCUUUAUAAACACACAUUCUCAUUCCCAGAUUCUAUUGGUGAUUGGAAGCAUCUACGCUAUUUUGCUUUCUGGGUGAAAGCAAUGGACAAGCUAACUUUACCGGCCACCUUUAGCAAACUUUAUCACAUGCAGGUGGCAGAUUUUCGUUUUUGUGGUAGUUUGACGUUUUCUAGUGGUGAAGACAUGAUGAGCCUAGUCAACUUGCGCCAUGUAAUCAGCAAAACAGAUCUGGAAUUUGCAAACGUUGGCAGGUUGAUAUGGCUCCAAACGCUACCAUUCUUCAGAUUUAGGAGGGAACGGGGUUACGACUUAUGA